GAAUUGCAGUAGUAGACUAGCUAGUCUAUUUCAUUCCAAUUUGCACUGAAGUCCACAAACUAAAACCGAUUAGUAAUACUGAUCCAGUGCCCUAACUAUUGAAAAGAUGCAAGACCUCUCCGUGGUCAACAGAUCGUUCCAACUGAACCAAAGAAGAAAAGAGUGAAAUACCACACACCCCACUCACAAACCCAACUCCGCUAUUUUCGGUGAUUUCCUAGCGUCGUGUGCGAUGAAAUUACCAUUCCCACGGAUGAACAAACACAGAGAAUUACAAACAAGGCUUGAACUAAGAUGCACUGAAAUUCCGCAAGGCUCAAGUCCAUACACCCACAAAGCAAGCGCGUCCGAUCAGCGGAAGAUGUACAUGACGAAGGCCGCCGUGAGAACGAGGAAGUGGUCUAUCCCCUUGUCCACGGUCAAUCC
This 426-nucleotide long non-coding RNA is filed under the name Panicum hallii. Its description in RNAcentral is "long non-coding RNA (PHAL_LNC000502)". Lineage: Eukaryota; Viridiplantae; Streptophyta; Magnoliopsida; Poales; Poaceae. The record is from RNAcentral.